UACGUAGGGGGCGAGCGUUGUCCGGAUUUAUUGGGCGUAAAGAGCGUGUAGGCGGUUCGGUAAGUCUGUCGUGAAAUCCUGAGGCUCAACCUUGGACGUGCGAUGGAUACUGCCGGGCUAGAGGAUGGUAGAGGCGAGCGGAAUUCCCGGUGUAGCGGUGAAAUGUGUAGAGAUCGGGAGGAACACCGGUGGCGAAGGCGGGUCUCUGGGCAUCUCCUGACGCUGAGGCGCGAAAGCGUGGGGAGCGAACAGG
RNAcentral lists this ribosomal RNA (253 nucleotides) under uncultured bacterium. RNAcentral's name for it is "partial 16S ribosomal RNA". It matches the Rfam family "Bacterial small subunit ribosomal RNA", at positions 524 to 776 of the family's 1533-position model. The record is from RNAcentral.